CGAAGGUCCCAAGCGUUAUCCGGAUUUAUUGGGUUUAAAGGGUGCGUAGGCGGGCUAUUAAGUCAGUGGUGAAAGCCCCAAGCUUAACUUGGGAACUGCCAUUGAUACUGAUGGUCUUGAGUACAUUUGAGGUGGGCGGAAUGUGUCAUGUAGCGGUGAAAUGCUUAGAUAUGACACAGAACACCGAUUGCGAAGGCAGCUCACUAAACUGUAACUGACGCUGAGGCACGAAAGCGUGGGGAGCAAACAGGAUUAGAUACCCUGGUAGUCCACGCCCUAAACGAUGAUCACUCGAUGUGUGCGAUAUACUGUACGCGUCUGAGCGAAAGCAUUAAGUGAUCCACCUGGGAAGUACGUUCGCAAGAAUG
Molecule: ribosomal RNA, 368 nt
Filed under: uncultured organism
Description: bacterial SSU rRNA
Rfam family: Bacterial small subunit ribosomal RNA
Source: RNAcentral